RNAcentral lists this ribosomal RNA (455 nucleotides) under uncultured bacterium. RNAcentral's name for it is "partial 16S ribosomal RNA". It matches the Rfam family "Bacterial small subunit ribosomal RNA", at positions 28 to 507 of the family's 1533-position model. The record is from RNAcentral.
AACGAACGCUGGCGGCAUGCCUAACACAUGCAAGUCGAACGAUACCGCCGGGUCUAGUGUCGCACGGGUGCGUAACGCGUGGGAAGCUGCCCUUAGGGUCGGAAUAACUCCCCGAAAUGGGGGCUAACCCCGGGUAAUGUUGGCUGACCAAAGAUUUAUCGCCUUUGGCUGAGCCCGCGUUCGAUUAGCUAGUUGUUUGGGUGAGAGCCUACCAGGGCGGCGAUCCAUAGCUGGCCUGGGAGGGUGGACAGCCACACUGGGACGGAGACACGGCCCAGACGGCGACGGGAGGCAGCAGGGGGUAAUAUGGGACAGUGGGCGUGGGGCUGAUGCAACGACGCGGGGAGGGGGAUGUAGGCCUGCGGGUUGGGAACCUGUAUCGCUAGGGAAGCAAACCCGCCUUGUUCGUGGGUGGGUUGACGGUAGCUGGAGAAGAAGCGCCGGCUAACUACGUG